Myxocyprinus asiaticus (Chinese sucker) is the source of this 183-nucleotide long non-coding RNA. RefSeq lists it as uncharacterized. The record is from RefSeq and is a predicted model, not a curated record. The transcript is spliced from 3 exons. Lineage: Eukaryota; Metazoa; Chordata; Actinopteri; Cypriniformes; Catostomidae.
AGUUUCUUUCUUUCUAAGCAUGAUGGCACAAGGAAUGGCACAAUUAAACUUGCUCUCUUAUGUUUGUGCUGUACCAUUCUUUCUGCAACUGGAGCAAUGUCAACAACAAAUGUUCCAUCAACUGCAUCCCAACAAUCCACUACCAGCAAAUCAGCUCCAACCUCAUCAACACUUGCUCUGACA